UGGACCUUUAGCUCAGUUGGUUAGAGCAGACGGCUCAUAACCGUCCGGUCGUAGGUUCGAGUCCUACAAGGUCCAUUGU
Molecule: transfer RNA, 79 nt
Filed under: Enterococcus faecalis PC1.1
Lineage: Bacteria; Bacillati; Bacillota; Bacilli; Lactobacillales; Enterococcaceae
Description: tRNA-Met
Rfam family: tRNA
About the family: Transfer RNA (tRNA) molecules are approximately 80 nucleotides in length. Their secondary structure includes four short double-helical elements and three loops (D, anti-codon, and T loops).
Source: RNAcentral